Molecule: ribosomal RNA, 465 nt
Filed under: uncultured Klebsiella sp.
Lineage: Bacteria; Pseudomonadati; Pseudomonadota; Gammaproteobacteria; Enterobacterales; Enterobacteriaceae
Description: bacterial SSU rRNA
Rfam family: Bacterial small subunit ribosomal RNA
Source: RNAcentral
CCUACGGGUGGCAGCAGUGGGGAAUAUUGCACAAUGGGCGCAAGCCUGAUGCAGCCAUGCCGCGUGUGUGAAGAAGGCCUUCGGGUUGUAAAGCACUUUCAGCGGGGAGGAAGGCGGUGAGGUUAAUAACCUCAUCGAUUGACGUUACCCGCAGAAGAAGCACCGGCUAACUCCGUGCCAGCAGCCGCGGUAAUACGGAGGGUGCAAGCGUUAAUCGGAAUUACUGGGCGUAAAGCGCACGCAGGCGGUCUGUCAAGUCGGAUGUGAAAUCCCCGGGCUCAACCUGGGAACUGCAUUCGAAACUGGCAGGCUAGAGUCUUGUAGAGGGGGGUAGAAUUCCAGGUGUAGCGGUGAAAUGCGUAGAGAUCUGGAGGAAUACCGGUGGCGAAGGCGGCCCCCUGGACAAAGACUGACGCUCAGGUGCGAAAGCGUGGGGAGCAAACAGGAUUAUAUACCCCUGUAGUC